RNAcentral lists this ribosomal RNA (271 nucleotides) under uncultured prokaryote. RNAcentral's name for it is "partial 16S ribosomal RNA". It matches the Rfam family "Bacterial small subunit ribosomal RNA", at positions 524 to 794 of the family's 1533-position model. The record is from RNAcentral.
UACGGAGGAUCCGAGCGUUAUCCGGAUUUAUUGGGUUUAAAGGGUGCGCAGGCGGGAGAUUAAGUCGGCGGUGAAAUUUUGCAGCUCAACUGUAAAAGUGCCUUCGAAACUGGUUUCCUUGAGUGUAGAUGAAGUAGGCGGAAUUUGUGGUGUAGCGGUGAAAUGCAUAGAUAUCACGAGGAACUCCGAUUGCUAAGGCAGCUUACUAAGCCAUAACUGACGCUCAAGCACGAAGGCGUGGGGAUCAAACAGGAUUAGAUACCCGGGUAGU